RNAcentral lists this ribosomal RNA (468 nucleotides) under uncultured bacterium. Its description in RNAcentral is "partial 16S ribosomal RNA". It matches the Rfam family "Bacterial small subunit ribosomal RNA", at positions 28 to 507 of the family's 1533-position model. The record is from RNAcentral.
GACGAACGCUGGCGGCGUGCUUAACACAUGCAAGUCGAACGGAAAGGCCCUGCUUUUGUGGGGUGCUCGAGUGGCGAACGGGUGAGUAACACGUGAGUAACCUGCCCUUGACUUUGGGAUAACUUCAGGAAACUGGGGCUAAUACCGGAUAGGAGCUCCUGCUGCAUGGUGGGGGUUGGAAUGUUUCGGCGGUUGGGGAUGGACUCGCGGCUUAUCAGCUUGUUGGUGGGGUAGUGGCUUACCAAGGCUUUGACGGGUAGCCGGCCUGAGAGGGUGACCGGCCACAUUGGGACUGAGAUACGGCCCAGACUCCUACGGGAGGCAGCAGUGGGGAAUAUUGCACAAUGGGCGGAAGCCUGAUGCAGCAACGCCGCGUGCGGGAUGACGGCCUUCGGGUUGUAAACCGCUUUCGCCUGUGACGAAGCGUGAGUGACGGUAAUGGGUAAAGAAGCACCGGCUAACUACGUG